UCACAUCAAGAGAAAAACAAGAAUAAUACAGAUUUACAUAUUUCUAACCAUAUUUGAAUUAAAUUGAUAUAAAUUCAUGAUGUCGAGAAGCGCCCAAUAUUGUCAAAUUUGAAUACCGAUUUUCGUUGAAAACAAUUUAAUAAUGGAAUCACCACCAGCGGGGAUAAACGUUCGAGAGCUCGCAUUAAAUAAUCCGCUGAUUUUGUCACAAAUCCUAAAACAGAGCUCAACCCGAUUGAAAACUGCACGACUCGUCUCCCAAUUUUGAAAUGAAAUCGUCCUAUCCCUUCAGAAUACGAGACUCGCGUUACCCCUAAAUUACGAAGUUUUCCCCUUUUUCAACUUAUCCGAUGACCGACUCGCGAAACGAAUUAGCGCCACACGUUACAACAAUAAGGACGCACUACGAGAAUUCCCCGCUAAACUAAUCCACCUUUGUGACAAGUUUACCGAUAGGGUAGAAAUUUUGGAAAUUUUCAUAGACUGUGAAAACUGUCUGCCACCCGUGUACCAAGUUUUGAAAAAUUGUUGCCCAAAUUUGAAACAGUUUCGAAUUUUGUGCACAUUUCCAACGUCAAAUUGGCUCCGUCUAUCGCCCAGCGACGAAGAAAUGUUGAGCGUACCGCUUCAACGAAAAGGUAAUUUGGCCCUGUUCACGCUCAGUUCGAAGCCGGUUAUUCCAUUUCUUACGAGACUGGCUCAGCUGGUUGUGGACUCGGCGGCCAAUUUGCGCGAGGUCACGCUUCCCUGUGGAUACUGUCCGGAUUUGGGGAACUGCAAGAAUCUCGACUCUCUGACCAUAGCGGUCGACGACCCUGAAAACUUUACACAUUAGUACAUACAGUGGGAAUUAUACAAGGCACGAUUUAACUGAGGCUGACAUCGAACUGUUUAAGGAACUCCUCUAUACGAUGGGUGGAAUGGAUCAGGUCAAAAUUUGCAAUCUUUUCGUGAGUUAAUACUACAUUCAUUAGAAAAUAGAUACAUA
Molecule: long non-coding RNA, 988 nt
Organism: Folsomia candida
Lineage: Eukaryota; Metazoa; Arthropoda; Collembola; Entomobryomorpha; Isotomidae
Exons: 4
Source: RefSeq, a predicted model, not a curated record